Molecule: long non-coding RNA, 254 nt
Organism: Brienomyrus brachyistius
Lineage: Eukaryota; Metazoa; Chordata; Actinopteri; Osteoglossiformes; Mormyridae
Exons: 3
Source: RefSeq, a predicted model, not a curated record
GGAGGAGGGUGUGGCCGGAAGCGGGAAAGGUAGGGGUCUCACGCUUAGUCCUGUUGUUUAUGGGGAUGGAGGAGGGCGUGGGUGGAACCGGCAAAGGUAGGGGUCUCACGCUUAGUCCUGUUAUUUAUGGGGAUGGAGGAGGGCGUGGCCGGAAGCGGCAAAGGUAGGGGUCUCACGCUUAGUCCUGUUGUUUAUGGGGAUGGAGGAGGGCGUGGCCGGAAGCGGCAAAGGUAGGGGUCUCACGCUUAGUCCUG